This is a non-coding RNA of Chrysemys picta bellii (western painted turtle), 3075 nucleotides long. NCBI's taxonomy places the organism in Eukaryota, Metazoa, Chordata, Testudines, Emydidae. The record is from RefSeq and is a predicted model, not a curated record.
UUGCUGGAGUGGUCUGAGCAUGCCCAGCAACAGCUGCAAACUGCAAGAAUUUGCUACUUAGGGUGCACCCGGCCUGCACACGAGCUGAGCAGACUCAGUAACAUCUGCUAAAGCCACUGCCCUUCACCCUCCCUUCACUUGGCAGGGGACACUUUUCCAUUCUGCCAAAGAAAGAAAGGUCGUCAUGCACACCAUGAAACAAGCCCUACAACUCUUCGAACAGUAUCAUGACAGUCCAUGGGGUGGACAUCAAGGAAUAGUCAAAACGACAAUGGCCCUGAGCACAAGAUACUAUUGGCCUGGGAUGACAAAAACCAUCGCCAAUUGGGUUUCAUGAUGUCUGCAUUGCCAGAAAGUGAGAAAGGAAUUAAAUCUGGAUACCACCUUGACAAGCAUAAAGAUGAAUUUUGGACUCUGAGACAUCUACUAAAUUUCUUCAGAAAUUUCUUUUACCUUCCUUCCAGUGUCAAAGCAUUAGGAAUGUUCUUUGUGUGGACUGCAUAUACAUGAUAUCAAGUCUAAUUCACUUCCUUUAAAAACUUAAGAAAUCUUAUAAAGAGAGAGUCAAAGAUAAUUGUUUAUCAUUAUCCAUUUUUAUCAUUGCUACAUAAUGCGGCCUUUAAUUCACAAUGAAUGCAAUGCAUGUGAGUGGCACAAUGGAGUGCAACAGUGAACUCUAUUGCUCCUUGCAGUGGCAUAUUUCUGCAGGUUUGUUAUUGUUUCAUUUUUUCAUACAAGUAUUCCUGUAUUACUUUUUGUUGACUUUAUUUCUUUUUGUUCUAUUUUUAAAAAUGGAAAUUAGAUUCUGAUAGUGUGUUGGUGGAAACCACAUCAGUGUUCAGUAUGCUUACUACUUAUGGGCUUAUUGAGAAUCUGAAAUAAGAGAAAUCCAAAGUAUGACUCCAAUCGGCUCUCUUGCAUACAGGUCAGUCGGCCCUUUGAAUUGGUGGGAAUGGAUUUAAUAGGGACAUUACCAGCUAUAAAUAAGGGAUACUGACAACCGCAGACCAUCUUACAAGAUGGAUUGAAGUAUUUACACUUCUAAAUAAGUCAGCAUCUGUGGUGGCAAAUGAAAUGUACAAAAUUAUAAUGCGAUUUGGAUGUCCACAGCAUAUACUGACAUAUCGUGUGUCAGAAUUCAAUAAGGAGGUAAAUACUUAUUUCGAAGGUUGUUUUUGACUUUGUCUUCAACCACACUUUCAGGUCACAGAUGGUUGGCAGUGAACAUGGGCUUCAUUGCCCUCGUUAGUUGUUCAUUAUGGGCAUUUUUGCUGACAAGUUUCUAUGAACUCCCACUCAACUUUGGCAAAUAGCACUGCUGGUCGCCCUAUCACGGUUGCUAUAACUUUUUAUUCUUUGGUCUCUUUUUACCCACCAUACCUGUCCAAAGGAAAUGUUAUGGCAUAACUUAUUUUCUUUCAGUGUAACCUGGAGAGUUGCAAAAAAUUGGGAAUACAAUGUAGCUUCACCAGCCCAUACCAUCACAAACCAAUGGAUUGGCUGAAAAUACAAACAAAUCCAUCAAAAGGUAAUUUUAGGGCUGGGAAAAUUACAGUAUUAAUAGUAAGGAGAAAGCACUAUCCCAAAAGCUGCAAAUUGCUUCAAAAUCUUCAAAGUUAUUUUAGUCCACUUUUCUUUCAUUUCAAGAAAAAGUAAUCUUAUUAAUGCACUAGGAUGGCCUUCUCCUUAUGCCUUUUGGAUUCCAUAGAAUUUGUCUCAGUAAAGACAAGCCAUUUCAUCUCCGAUGAGAUAUUACCCCAGGAGCUUGCUGGAAUCUACACUGCCUUUGAUCAGAACCUUUUUCAGUCAAGGCAACAGGACAAGUGCAUUGCUGUCUGUGCCUCCCUGCUGAAUUGAUGAACUGUAAUGGUCAGAGAUCGCACCAGCAUAGAAGUAUAUUGAAGGCGAACCCUAAGGAAAUAAGGGUUUAAAUUAGCCUCACAUGUCCCAUGUCCCACUACAAUGAAUCCAACCCACCGGUCACUUAGGCAGAAGUAUCAAUGUCAGGAUGCUACAUUGUUAGCACAGUAAAUGAAGCUGCAAAAUAAAUGAUGUUUAAAUGACCUCACUCUAUUUUUUACAAUCCUCUAUCAAGAGGUUAAGAGCUAAAGACUUUAUGCUUCCAUCCCGUGAGAUGUCCCCAUCUCAAUGACUAGACAAGGCAGCUCUUCCCUUUCAGACAUAACAUACUGAGGUGCUACAGGAGACUUGAUGCAGUGAAAUAUUUUUUAUAUACACUCCCAAAAAGAGGAGGCCAUACAGAGGCCUGCCUGUCCUCAAGGACUCCCCUACCACUCUCCUGUGUGGCAGAGUCCUCGUAACCCCGACAAGACUUGAAGCUUCACCCCCAUCCUCCUGGUGGCCACUUAGGAUAGGAGCUAGGACGUCCCCACUCCAGGGUGCUCUCUUCACACUAGCUCCUUCCCUGACCCACUUAUCACUGCAUUAAGUUCAAACCAAAUACAAUUUAUUAAACAGAAAUGGUAAGGAAAAAAAUGGAAAAGGUCAAAGAAACAAGGGACCUCACCCUAUAGGGAACACCACAAACAGCCGUCUCUGCAACUUAAGGAAAGGUCACAGUCUGUUCCUCACACAUCCCAGGCCUCCCUCCCAGGCCCUGGCUGUGCUGAGGUGUUACCAUGGGUCAGACACCUGCUGUGGUGGUGGCCACACCCGCUCAGGCUCUAGAUGCCAGGAUCCUUCUCCCCAGUAUUGGCCCUCCUGUCAGGUUCAUGUCCCCCCUCCAACUCCAGCCUUCAAAGCCCUCUCAAAGACAUCUCCUUGCACUGGGCCCUCUGCCCAGGCCCCCCACUCGCUCUCCCCAGCCACUCACUGUGCUUGGCUGCAGUGUUACUUGUGGCAUGGCUGGCAUCCGCGAUCCCAGCUCUGGGCCCACAGCUCCCUCUGUAGCUUAGCCCUCGCUCCCCGUCAGCGCAGCUGGUCCGUGCUGCUCCAGCUCCCCAGCCCUGACCCCUCUGGCUCUCGCUGCUGCUGCAGUUCUCCCCUUAGCUCUGACCAGCUGUCAUAACUAUAAAGGGAAGGGCAACAGCCCUCCUGUGUACAGUACUAUAAAAU